RNAcentral lists this unclassified non-coding RNA (2118 nucleotides) under Hevea brasiliensis (rubber tree). The record is from RNAcentral. Lineage: Eukaryota; Viridiplantae; Streptophyta; Magnoliopsida; Malpighiales; Euphorbiaceae.
GAAAUAUUGAACUUGAAAUAUUUAUUUAAUUAUAAGUUUGAAUUAUGAAAUGGAAAGCAUUUAAUUUACAGUAACAUUUUGAACAAGGAAGAGGGAGGGGAUGGAAAAUAGAAAGAAUGGACAAAAGGAAUACGUACAUAUAUAAACAUAAUUUACAGCUAACUUUUUGAAUUGUGAUCCAUCUUUUUAUUUGGAAUUUUCAGCAUUACAUUAACCUAUAAGACUUCAAUCAAAAACUAAUGUUUCAAUAACAUAUCAUGGCAAAUACCUUCAUCUCUAAUCAUAGAGACAAGCAGGCAAGCGAGGUUUCACCAGAACUUCAAGAGGGGUGGCUUUGCUAUUUGUUAAUCCAGCAGUCUCAGUCAUGUCAACUGGUGUAUUUGAUGGGGUUGACAUCUCAAAUGCUUGAAGGAAACUUGCCAGAGCUAAUUGAGUCAUCAGAAUGCCAAAAUUUAUCCCAGGGCAUGCCCUCCUACCGGCACCAAAUGGAAUGAGCUCAAAAUUCUGACCUUUCACAUCAAUUUCCUUGUGUGUGUUCAGAAAUCUCUCUGGUUCAAAUUGCAUUGGAUUUGACCACACCCGCGGAUCCCUAUGGAUCUUGUAAAUGUUAACCAUUAGGCGGGUACCUGCUGGGACAUGGAAACCACCGAUGGUACAAUCCUCGGAGAAUUCCCGAGGUCCUGAUAGUGGACCAGCAGGGUAUAGCCUCAUCGUCUCCUUUACUAUUGCCUGGAGAUAUACCAGUUUAUCUAUGUCUGAUUCAUUCACAAAUCUUUCUCUGCCAACUUGAAUGUCCAAUUCUUCUUGGGCCUUCCUCAGUGCAAUGGGAUGGUUUAACAAUAGCGCCAGUCCCCAUGUUACCGUAACAGUUGUGGUAUCAGUACCCCCUGCAAUAUUAGUCUACAAAACAGAGUGAACCAGCAUCUUAAAUAAUAAUAAAAGCGUAAAAAAUUAUAAAAUUUGAGGACAGUUAGAAUUCGUAUCUGGAUAAUUAAAUCUUUAAUUACCAUGGAUGUAGCUUUUAUAACAGUAUUAGCAUCAUAACCAGCAAGAUCAAUACCAUCAAGCACCGACAGCAAGACGUCCAUGAAGUCUUGGUCUCUGUUAGACACUUGGCCAGUGUCUCUCUUCCUGCGAUGAUCCUCUAACCACUCUCCAAUGAUACUGUCAAAUUCCUUAGCAGUUCUCUUCAUGGCCUUCUCAUAUCCACCUAAAUCCAUCCACCCAAGAAAUGGAAAAGCAUCCCUCGCUACAGACAGCCCUAACAAGUAAAAGAACUCCCUCAUCGCCUUCUGGAAUCGCCGGGCCUCUCCCUCGUCACCUGCAGAACUAUUACCAAAGUACCUCUUUCCUGCAACCAUCCUGAGAAUCACGUUCAUAUUUAUGUCAUUAAAACAUCUCUUCAUGUCGACCAUGACUUGGUUUGUCUCAUCUUUGUUUUUUGUCCACAACUUGUACAGAUCCUUCAUUGAGCCUGUCACUUCAGAGGCCCUAAUGUGUUUUAAUAGCUCAAGUCUGCGGUUGGAGAGUAGCUCUGUAGCCGUUAAUUUUCGCAUUUCGCGCCAGUAUUCAACUUGAGGGGAGAAUCCGAAAUUGGCAUAAUCGUAGCCCAGAAGUUUUGAACCUGUAAAUUUGGGGCGGGUCCAAACAGCAGCAUCGUUGGUGGUGAAUAUUUCCUUAGCCAAUUCCCAGGUACUGACCACCAAAGCUGAGUAUAUCCCAAUCCUGACGGUGAAGAUAGGUCCAUACUUAUCAGCUAAGGCUGCCAAAGUUAUGUGGGGAAGCUCACGUCCUGCCAACAAAGGGAGAUGACCUAAAAUCGGCCAUGCACCUCCAGCUUCGGGAGCUGCUUUGGCCUUGGCAGAUUUGGACCCCCUCAAGAGAAAGUAGUAAAAGAGAAUUACAGCAGUAAGCCCAAGGAUGAUGUCUUUCAGGUAUGGCGGAAGCAGAGCCAUAUUAUUACAGCUAAGGUGUCUUGGAUGGCGGAAUAUUUCAAUGUUAAAUCUACCUAAACGCGCACUUCUUCUUGUUCCCCACUAACAAUAUAAUUAAGCAGCGAGAAUCAAGACUUAGCCAGUAAUGGAGAGAACCAAUGGACGGACGCCUGCUAGAGGACCA